This 249-nucleotide unclassified non-coding RNA is filed under the name Chytridiomycota sp. RNAcentral's name for it is "partial contains small subunit ribosomal RNA, internal transcribed spacer 1, and 5.8S ribosomal RNA". The stretch from base 1 to 47 matches the Rfam family "Eukaryotic small subunit ribosomal RNA", at positions 1785 to 1831 of the family's 1831-position model. The record is from RNAcentral. Lineage: Eukaryota; Fungi; Chytridiomycota.
AAAGUCGUAACAAGGUAACCGUAGGUGAACCUGCGGUUGGAUCAUUAAUGAAAAGGGGGGGGCGGUCACAAGCCACCCACCUGUUCAAACCCGUGCAAUCAUGCAGACUGUCUUUUUCUUUCUCCGUUCUUUGGAUGGGGGGAGUUGUAAAAACACUGUGAUUUUUGUUACCCUAGUUGUCAGCCUUGAAUUUCCAGGCAAACAAAACAAAUAAAAAAACAACUUUUGACAACGGAUCUCUUGGCUCUC